UGGUACCGUCAACAACAAGACUUAUUCAUUCCUGCUGCAUUCGUCCCACUUGACAGGAGUUUACGACCCGAAGGCCUUCGUCCUCCACGCGGCGUCGCUGCGUCAGGCUUUCGCCCAUUGCGCAAGAUUCCUC
RNAcentral lists this ribosomal RNA (133 nucleotides) under uncultured bacterium. RNAcentral's name for it is "partial 16S ribosomal RNA". The record is from RNAcentral.